Molecule: ribosomal RNA, 497 nt
Filed under: uncultured bacterium
Lineage: Bacteria
Description: partial 16S ribosomal RNA
Rfam family: Bacterial small subunit ribosomal RNA
Source: RNAcentral
GAUGAACGCUGGCGGCGUGCCUAAUACAUGCAAGUCGAGCGAACAGACGAGGAGCUUGCUCCUCUGACGUUAGCGGCGGACGGGUGAGUAACACGUGGAUAACCUACCUAUAAGACUGGGAUAACUUCGGGAAACCGGAGCUAAUACCGGAUAAUAUAUUGAACCGCAUGGUUCAAUAGUGAAAGACGGUUUUGCUGUCACUUAUAGAUGGAUCCGCGCCGCAUUAGCUAGUUGGUAAGGUAACGGCUUACCAAGGCAACGAUGCGUAGCCGACCUGAGAGGGUGAUCGGCCACACUGGAACGGAGACACGGUCCAGACUCCUACGGGAGGCAGCAGUAGGGAAUCUGCCGCAAUGGGCGAAAGCCUGACGGAGCAACGCCGCGUGAGUGAUGAAGGCCUUCGGAUCGUAAAACUCUGUUAUUAGGGAAGAACAAAUGUGUAAGUAACUAUGCACGUCUUGACGGUACCUAAUCAGAAAGCCACGGCUAACUACGUG